RNAcentral lists this ribosomal RNA (388 nucleotides) under uncultured bacterium. RNAcentral's name for it is "bacterial SSU rRNA". It matches the Rfam family "Bacterial small subunit ribosomal RNA", at positions 28 to 417 of the family's 1533-position model. The record is from RNAcentral.
GACGAACGCUGGCGGCGUGCUUAACACAUGCAAGUCGAGCGGUAAGGCCCUUUCGGGGGUACACGAGCGGCGAACGGGUGGGUAACACGUGGGUGACCUGCCCUCAGCUCUGGGAUAAGCCUGGGAAACCGGGUCUAAUACUGGAUAUGACUCCAUGACGCAUGUUGUGGGGUGGAAAGCCUUGUGCGGCUGAGGAUGGGCCCGCGGCCUAUCAGCUUGUUGGUGGGGUGAUGGCCUACCAAGGCGACGACGGGUAGCCGGCCUGAGAGGGCGACCGGCCACACUGGGACUGAGACACGGCCCAGACUCCUACGGGAGGCAGCAGUGGGGAAUCUUGCGCAAUGGGCGAAAGCCUGACGCAGCGACGCCGCGUGAGGGAUGACGGCCU